This 674-nucleotide ribosomal RNA is filed under the name uncultured bacterium. RNAcentral's name for it is "bacterial SSU rRNA". It matches the Rfam family "Bacterial small subunit ribosomal RNA", at positions 77 to 749 of the family's 1533-position model. The record is from RNAcentral.
AGCUUGCUUCCGCUGACGACCGGCGCACGGGUGCGUAACGCGUAUGCAACCUACCUCAUACUGGAGAAUAGCCCUUGGAAACGAGGAUUAAUGCUCCAUAGUAUCACAGAUUCGCAUGUUUCUGUGAUUAAAGAAUUUCGGUAUGAGAUGGGCAUGCGUCCCAUUAGCUUGUUGGUGAGGUAACGGCUCACCAAGGCAACGAUGGGUAGGGGGCCUGAGAGGGUGACCCCCCACACUGGUACUGAGACACGGACCAGACUCCUACGGGAGGCAGCAGUGAGGAAUAUUGGGCAAUGGAGGCAACUCUGACCCAGCCAUGCCGCGUGAAGGAUGACUGCCCUAUGGGUUGUAAACUUCUUUUAUAUGGGAAGAAACUUAUCUACGUGUAGAUAACUGACGGUACCAUACGAAUAAGGAUCGGCUAACUCCGUGCCAGCAGCCGCGGUAAUACGGAGGAUCCAAGCGUUAUCCGGAUUCAUUGGGUUUAAAGGGUCCGUAGGCGGUCUUUUAAGUCAGAGGUGAAAUCCUAUCGCUCAACGAUAGAACUGCCUUUGAUACUGAAAGACUUGAGUUAUUGUGAAGUGGUUAGAAUAUGUAGUGUAGCGGUGAAAUGCAUAGAUAUUACAUAGAAUACCGAUUGCGAAGGCAGAUCACUAACAAUAUACUGACGCUGA